Molecule: ribosomal RNA, 479 nt
Filed under: Streptococcus sobrinus
Lineage: Bacteria; Bacillati; Bacillota; Bacilli; Lactobacillales; Streptococcaceae
Description: bacterial SSU rRNA
Rfam family: Bacterial small subunit ribosomal RNA
Source: RNAcentral
UGACGGUACCCUACCAGAAAGGGACGGCUAACUACGUGCCAGCAGCCGCGGUAAUACGUAGGUCCCGAGCGUUGUCCGGAUUUAUUGGGCGUAAAGGGAGCGCAGGCGGUUUAGUAAGUCUGAAGUUAAAGGCAUUGGCUCAACCAAUGUAUGCUUUGGAAACUGUUAGACUUGAGUGCAGAAGGGGAGAGUGGAAUUCCAUGUGUAGCGGUGAAAUGCGUAGAUAUAUGGAGGAACACCGGUGGCGAAAGCGGCUCUCUGGUCUGUCACUGACGCUGAGGCUCGAAAGCGUGGGUAGCGAACAGGAUUAGAUACCCUGGUAGUCCACGCCGUAAACGCUGAGUGCUAGGUGUUAGGUCCUUUCCGGGACUUAGUGCCGACGCUAACGCAUUAAGCACUCCGCCUGGGGAGUACGACCGCAAGGUUGAAACUCAAAGGAAUUGACGGGGGCCCGCACAAGCGGUGGAGCAUGUGGUUUA